RNAcentral lists this ribosomal RNA (509 nucleotides) under uncultured bacterium. RNAcentral describes it as "bacterial SSU rRNA". It matches the Rfam family "Bacterial small subunit ribosomal RNA", at positions 8 to 507 of the family's 1533-position model. The record is from RNAcentral.
AGAGUUUGAUCAUGGCUCAGAGUGAACGCUGGCGGCAGGCCUAAUACAUGCAAGUCGAACGGCAGCACAGCAGAGCUUGCUCUGUGGGUGGCGAGUGGCGGACGGGUGAGGAAUACGUGGGAAUCUGCCCAGUCGUGGGGGAUAACGUAGGGAAACUUACGCUAAUACCGCAUGCGCCCUUCGGGGAAAGCCGGGGACCUUCGGGCCUGGCGCGAUUGGAUGAGCCCACGUCGGAUUAGCUAGUUGGCGGGGUAAAGGCCCACCAAGGCGACGAUCCGUAGCUGGUCUGAGAGGACGAUCAGCCACACUGGAACUGAGACACGGUCCAGACUCCUACGGGAGGCAGCAGUAGGGAAUAUUGGACAAUGGGCGCAAGCCUGAUCCAGCCAUGCCGCGUGAGUGAAGAAGGCCCUCGGGUUGUAAAGCUCUUUUGUCCGGAAAGAAAAGCGCCGGGUUAAUACCCUGGUGUCCUGACGGUACCGGAAGAAUAAGCACCGGCUAACUUCGUG